This 716-nucleotide ribosomal RNA is filed under the name uncultured bacterium. Its description in RNAcentral is "bacterial SSU rRNA". It matches the Rfam family "Bacterial small subunit ribosomal RNA", at positions 63 to 776 of the family's 1533-position model. The record is from RNAcentral.
CGACGGGGUACCCUUGACAGAGGCUUCGGCCAAUGGAUAGGAAUACCUAGUGGCGGACGGGUGAGUAACGCGUGAGGAACCUGCCUUGGAGUGGGGAAUAACAGCUAGAAAUAGCUGCUAAUACCGCAUAAAGCAGUUGGGUCGCAUGACUCUGACUGCCAAAGAUUUAUCGCUCUGAGAUGGCCUCGCGUCUGAUUAGAUAGUUGGCGGGGUAACGGCCCACCAAGUCGACGAUCAGUAGCCGGACUGAGAGGUUGGCCGGCCACAUUGGGACUGAGACACGGCCCAGACUCCUACGGGAGGCAGCAGUGGGGAAUAUUGGGCAAUGGGCGCAAGCCUGACCCAGCAACGCCGCGUGAAGGAAGAAGGCCCUCGGGUUGUAAACUUCUUUUAUCAGGGACGAAACACAUGACGGUACCUGAUGAAUAAGCCACGGCUAACUACGUGCCAGCAGCCGCGGUAAUACGUAGGUGGCAAGCGUUAUCCGGAUUUACUGGGUGUAAAGGGCGUGUAGGCGGGAGAGCAAGUCAGACGUGAAAUUCCAGGGCUCAACCCUGGAACUGCGUUUGAAACUGUUCUUCUUGAGUGAUGGAGAGGCAGGCGGAAUUCCGUGUGUAGCGGUGAAAUGCGUAGAUAUACGGAGGAACACCAGUGGCGAAGGCGGCCUGCUGGACAUUAACUGACGCUGAGGCGCGAAAGCGUGGGGAGCAAACAGG